AAAAGGAGCAUUUUGGCUAACUCAUGUGCAGUAUCUGUUCUUUGUGAUACAUUCCCUAUUUGGGAACCAUAUAGUAAAUUGAUUUUAGGAACAAGGAGAUGGAGUAGGGGCUUGCUCCGUCCACUACAUGCAUCGGCCUAGUAUUGUAAUACCAUAAUUUUAGGACUUGUUAAGGUUAA
RNAcentral lists this small nuclear RNA (179 nucleotides) under Erpetoichthys calabaricus (reedfish). RNAcentral describes it as "U2 spliceosomal RNA (ENSECRG00000013214.1)". It matches the Rfam family "U2 spliceosomal RNA". From Rfam's summary of the family: U2 is a small nuclear RNA (snRNA) component of the spliceosome (involved in pre-mRNA splicing). The record is from RNAcentral. Lineage: Eukaryota; Metazoa; Chordata; Cladistia; Polypteriformes; Polypteridae.